Molecule: long non-coding RNA, 218 nt
Filed under: Elaeis guineensis (African oil palm)
Lineage: Eukaryota; Viridiplantae; Streptophyta; Magnoliopsida; Arecales; Arecaceae
Description: long non-coding RNA (EGUI_LNC016806)
Source: RNAcentral
GAGGAGACUUAGAUCGGCAAGGUGGUGCAGAAGAUCUAGAUUGCUUGUUAUGAGAUGGGGUUUGAGAAUGAUGAGGUUUAAGUUCAGGACGUCGAUGCUACACUCGUCGGGAGUCUUUCUUUUUCUCUUAUCCGAAGCUUUGAUGAGAUGUUCUGAUAAGAUUUUUCUCUUGCUGAUCUUAAGCUUCAUCAGUCUGAGUAUAAUUCUCUGCUCAUUCC